This 3866-nucleotide long non-coding RNA is filed under the name Selaginella moellendorffii. RNAcentral's name for it is "long non-coding RNA (SMOE_LNC001577)". The record is from RNAcentral. Lineage: Eukaryota; Viridiplantae; Streptophyta; Lycopodiopsida; Selaginellales; Selaginellaceae.
CUGCGAUGAGUUCCAGAGCAUUUAUCCCGAGAUCCACAACUGCGUCGAGCUCGUCAGCGUCUAUCUCUUUCAGCUGGCACCGUCCACCUCGCACAGAUCCAGGAUUGCCGAGGCUUACAACUCGUGCCUCAUGUGGCAGAACUCGAGCAGCAUGCUGGAAGAAGCCGGAAGGAACGAUCGGAAGGAGCUCAUGGCUCUCGCAAUGAGCCAAGAGCCGGGAAGCCUGACGACCGAGACAGAACGAGCCAAAGAGAUACUCUGCUCCGUGCUCCUGGGAAACAAGUCAGUGAUUAACCACAAGGAACUCAAGCUGACAACACACCUGGGACAAGGAGCUUACGGAACCGUGUACGAAGCAAUCUGGCUCGGUCACAAGUUUGCAGUGAAAGUCUUCCCUCAAGGUGACACCAGCUUCGCCAAAGAGCUCGCGGUUCUUGAAGCGGACAAGCAUCCCAACGUGUUGCACAUCGCCAGCCAUUCUUUCGAUGCAGAGAAGCAGCGGUACUCGCUGGUGAUGGAGAAGAUGGACAUGGACCUGGCAAACUACCUCCUCAAGAAGAAGAAGUCUCUCCCGUUGCUGUCGAUCGUGGCAGUGAUGCUCCAAGUUGCUACUGGCAUGGCGUGGCUUCACUCGAAGAAUAUAAUCCACCGGGACCUCAAGCCGCAGAACAUCUUGGUUGGCGAAGAAGACAACGAUCUCGUGAGUAUCAGGAUUGCCGACUUUGGAGUCUCGAGGCCCGAUUUCAUCUCCUCCCUCAUCAGCGAAGCCACCGCCAAGCAAGGCACCAGAAACUUCAUGGCACCGGAAGUGUGGAGCGGCGAGCGCUACACGAAAAAGGCCGACGUUUACAGCUACGGGAUGAUGAUUUACCAGCUUGUCACUGGAAACGUUCCGUUCGAGGACGGGAUGGACAUGGAGCAAGUCCUUCGAGGCGAGCGUCCUGAGGUACCAGCAACCUGUCCAGAGUUCCUGUCGCAGCUCAUGCGGGAAUGCUGGAGCCACGAUGCAAAAGAGAGGCCUUCCUUCUCGGAUAUCUGUGAGCGGCUGAAGCAGCUCAAGACCAGGAUCAUCACUGGCACCGACUCCAUCGACGAGUUACGAGCCAAGUUGGUUGAAGCAGCCAGGUCAUCUUCCUCUUCUUCGUACUCGUCGUCUUCCUCGUCCUCGUCGCACAGCAUGAACCUGGAUUCUCCUGUCCAAGCACCUGAGGGGCUUUGGACCCAAAAUCCUCCAUCUCCCGUUGUCCAGGUAAACUCUUUUGCUUUUAGUAACUCCACCUUUAGUUUCAGCCGGCACCACACCGUCCUCAGCACGUCGCACCAGCAGCAAAGCCGGAUAACAGGGCCGAGCUCUUCGAACUGGUGAAGAACGGCCUCGUCAAAAACGCCUUUGAGAAAGCUCUGUCCCUGAACGAUCCUUCCACGUUCUGGUGGCUUUGCACCAAGGUAAUCCAUUCACGUCCUCCAGCUGCUCAUCAAAGCUUUGUCAGCUCAGGUGGAGGAAAGCGUCCUGCUCACCUUCAGUGAAUCAAUGCUCAUGGAAGUGGCCGAGCAAAUCAACACCAACUUCAAGGAAGACACUGCUCGCAGGUUGCUCUGGAUGGACGAGAUCCUGGCCAUCUUGAUGUUGGUCGACACAUCACCUCGGAUGCGGAGGAUAUUGGAGAAGCUUUCACAGAACCUCCACGGCAUGAUGGCUAUAACACCUUCAAAGAACGAGCUGGGGAUGAAGCUGGCGAGAGUGCUGGAAGAUACCAACUUGGGUCUUCAUGUACGUAUGAAACUCUUCGUGUUAUUCGUUUGAUUCAAAUCGUUUGUCGUCGCAGGAUAUCCGAGUUGAGAACAGCAAAGCUGAGAAGAAAGGGAAAAGAAAACAGGGACCUAUGAUGUGAAAUAAAACAGCUAUAUAUUUCCAGCGGAACACCGGUAGUUUCUGAGUAUUGAGAUCUAAUUUUCUGCCUGCCAAAAGUAUCAACCAUGCUUCACGAAAGAACCAUAAAGAACUUACCAAUUCCCAUUCGUAACUUCGUCUCAUCCUGCCGGGAUAAACGUGAAGGAAACUUACGAGAUAAAUAUCAAAGCACAAAGGUCUCACCAUUCUUUAGUUCUUAAACUCGAGUAGACGGUGAAGAUCCCAACCUUUUCGAUCUGGCAGCAGAGCCUUGGCAGCUUCCGCCGCAGCGCAGACACCAGUAGUUCUCGUAGGAUCAUCGCUCUCCGCUCAAAGAACGAUUUUGCCGCUUUCAACUUCUCGGGAUCCCCAUACUUGUAUGGCUUGUAGACGAUCCCGGCAGCUAGCCGUUGCUUCUUGAGCUUGGCUGGACGAACGUACGCAUCGCCCAGUCUCUUCAAGCGCUUCUGGAUCACUCUCCUCCGGUACACUUGCGGCUCGGGGAUCUUGGGAUCGGCGAGCGGCAGGCGAUCCGGAGGAGGCACAGCAACCCACCUGAAAAUCCGAUCGUUCGCGUCACCGCCUCCCGCUUUGUUGCGCUUGGCCGGAUUCUUGGAGCCGGCGCCCUCGCCGUGCAAGCACUGCGUGUGGACGAGGAAUUUGCUCCGGAGCCACACGAGUAAGCGCCUGCUCUUGAUCCCUUCCUUCGCGUGAGAUUGCGCGAUCCAAUCGGGCCAUAGGUGCGAACAUUCUGCGUCGGCAGAUCCUUGGGGCUCUUCUUGGCGUAGACCUCGUGGAUGUAGAGGCGCAACGAGCGAGCUCCACUUAAAGAACCCUAUCGAAAUAUCGAUUGCAGAACAGAAUCGAACUAGAACAAGAACAGCAUGAUCCAUUUCUAGUCUCUCGUAAGUCCACGAUUGACGAGGUCGAGCGCGCAACCUGUGCUCGCUGCGCCAAGAAGAAUCCGCCAAACUUUCUGGACAGGCGCUCAAGACGUUACGUGCAAACCACUGGUGGGCAUGCAGGAUAGUGUCGUCAAACGCUAUGCUACCGGGAUGCGAGAGUGAACUAGCAGGGCGGAAACUAGGGUAUCCUGGCCGUCCAAUCCUAAACAACCUGUUUGGAGUACUGAAACAAGAAAAGCCAUACACGGAUUUUCUUAUGCCUGAUUAAAGUAUCCCAGACAAGACUUAGAACUUAGAAUAUUCAAAAAGAAAAGUCCACGGUAGACACUCUGCAAAGAAAUGGAGCGGCGCUAGUGGUGAUCACCAACGAGCAUGGCAGCAGCGACUUUGCUCGAGGCGAUUCGAAUCGCGGACAAGGUUGGCACAAGAUCCACGAACACAAACUCGAGCAAGGUCUGUAGAAACCCAUGUAGGAUCCUCAUCGCGGCGGUCGGCUAUGUCCGAGACUACCUCAAGCAAAUCCAAGAUCUCAACUUCACGAGCAACGGGCCAGCCUUCGUGUGGGACGAAACCGUGGCUGUCCUUCACAGAGGCCUCCAUCUCCUCAAGUCAUGCCAAGAUGGCGAUUGGAUCGCCCGGAGCCUGCUGUUCGAGGAAAGCUGCGAUGAGUUCCAGAGCAUUUACCACGAGAUCUACAACUGCGUCGAGCUCGUCAGCGUCUAUCUCUUUCAGCUGGCACCGUCCACCUCGCACAGAUCCAGGAUUGCCGAGGCUUACAACUCGUGCCUCAUGAGGCAGAACUCGAGCAGCAUGCUGGAAGAAGCCGGAAGGAACGAUCGGAAGGAGCUCAUGGCUCUCGCAAUGAACCAAGAGCCGGGAAGCCUGACGACCGAGACAGAACGAGCCAAAGAGAUACUCUGCUCCAUGCUCCUGGGAAACAAGUCAGUGAUCAACCACAAGGAAUUGAAGCUGAGAACACACCUGGGACAAGGAGCUUACGGAACCGUGUACGAAGCAAUCUGGCUCGGUCACAAGUUCGCGGUGAAAGUCUUCGCUCAAGGUGACACCAG